AAGGAUAAUGAGAUUCAUGCUUCUGAUUCUAUCACCAGUUCAUUACGUAAGCUGUUCAUUGAUGAACCAGAAGAAUCUUCAUCGUGUUCAUCAUCAGAAGCAGACGAAUUGGAAGCUCUACCUUCUGGAACUUACUGCGUUUGGAGGCCUAAGACGGAAGGUGGAUCAUCAGCUGUUAUGACUAAAAUUAAGAAGAGUAGUUCUACGGGGUCUCUAUUGAAGAAGUGGAAGCUCCGGUAUAUGCUCCGGCGAAGCAACAGUGAAGGGAAGGAUCCUGUGAUUUUGUUAACUCCUAAGAAAAAAGGAAUUCCGGUGAGGUUUCCAAAGUCGCCGGUAAGUCGAAGGCUCAAACUCCUGUUCAUGAGCUAUUUUACGUGCGAAAAAGAGCAGAAAAUGAAGUCGGAAAGAGGAAAUCAUUUCUACCUUAUAGGCAAGUGGGUUUGUUCACAAAUGUCAAUGGAAUGGGGAAGAUGCUUCCGUUCUAGAAUAGCCAAAAGCAAUUUUGUUUAAUUCUUUAACUCUAGUCACUGAUAUUCAAAAAUUGAAUUUAGUGAUUUAUGUAAAUAUGUUUCAUUGAGAAUAACCAGACGCAAAAAAAGAUGGUUAUAAUUAUAAUUUGUAGAAUUAACUAUUUAAGAUUUCGAUGAUUAGUGUUAUAUUAUAUGUUAGCUGUUUUAUAUGAGAAAAUUUCGUAGAGAACUUUGAAAUUGUAAGGGUUUAACUUUUAAUUUAACAAAAUUCAAUAAUCCUUGUGUUUACAUUUAUAUUAAUACUAAAUUAUUAUGGCCCCAUCAAAUCCGGAAAACUCUACACUUUCCUCUUAUUUCUUCAUCGCCUCCACCGCCAUCACCAUCACUUUCCACCCACACGAUCAUUUUUUCUUUUGGAUUUGAAACCUGCAACAAGGACUCCCGACUCCCCAUCACUAUCUAAUUUAGCAACAACUUAAUAAGAUAAACACGUUCUAAAUAUUCACUGCAUAGAGAAAAUUUUGAUCCAUAUGGUUGAGGUAUUACACAUCCUUAUUGACCUGAAAUGUUGUCAAUCAGAGCAUAACAUCUCAAAUGAUGAGUAUCUAAAAGAUUAGCUGCAGUAAUAUGCUAAACCUAAUUGGUGUGAGAGUUGUAAGGAUAUAUUUGAGGGAGGUGUAAGACAGUCAAGCCAAGGCUAUAGGUAUUCCAUAUGAUUUCGUGUGUGUUUUCAUCUGAUUUCUUGUGUAUGUGUUCAUCAGAUCUGAUUUCAUAUAUGUAUAUGCGUUAAUCAGAUUUUGUGUGUGUAUGUUCAUAUGAUUUCAUGUGUUUGUGUUCAUCUGAUUUUAUGUGUGUGUUCAUUUGAUUUGAUUUUGUGUGCGUGUGUUCAUCAAAUCAGAUUUUAUAUGCGAGUGUUUGUUUAUUAGAUAUGGGCGAACACAAUAAAAAAACCUAGAUUUUGUGUAUGGUUUUUGUUUCUGACAUGAUUUUUUGGUGGAGUUGAAGUGACUCAAAAGAUUUAGGUGGAGAUGGAGGUAACAGACGGUGAUAGUGGCAGACGAUAGUUGAAUGGUGGUGGUGGCAAAGAUGUUCUUAAAUGUUUUUUAAAGACAAANGAAGACAAAGGUGUGUCUUUAUUGUUUACGAGAGAGAGAGAGAGAGAGAGAGAGAGACUGUAUGACCCCCUUCUAAAUUAUUAAAAUAAUAUAAAAUGUAAAAUAAAAUUAACAUGUUGUAAUAGUCAUUUUAAUUUUUGGAUGAACAUUUCCACAUAGAGCUACACAUUGGCGAUCCUAGAGAAGUCUUGGGUCGGUCCGGUCUUUUUGAAGUCGGUAUCGGAAUGGUCUGGUAUUUUUUCGGACCGGUCUUUUUCGGUCUCAUCUCAUUCGGUCUUUUUCGGUCUCAUCUCUCAGUUUUUCCGUGCACCUUUUUGGUUUGAUUUAAGGUUUUUUUUUUGUUCAGUUACCAUAUUUUUCGAUUCUUUUGUUUUGGUUUCGAGGUUUAACAUUGAUAAAUAUGAGAUUAUCAUCAAAAUGAUAAAUUAAGAUUUAUUAAAAAUGAUAAUUUAAAUUUAAUAAAAGAAAAAAAUGAAAUAAAUUAGAUAGUUUGUGAUUAAAAAUUGUAUAAUUAACACAAAAAGUAUAUAUAUUUAUAAGUUCGGUUACCGGUCUUUUUUUAGAAUCGGUUUCGGAACGGUCUGGUUUUUUUCGCAUCGGUCCGGGACGGUUUCGGGCCGGACUUUUUCGGUUCGUUCUUUUUAGGUCCGGUCUUUUUUCGGUCCGGUAUCAUUUUAGACCAAUUCAGUCUCUGUCUUUUUUUGGUUCCGGUCCGAGACCAGUCUUUUUGUGCAUGUUUAUUUCCACAUAGAAAUAUGAUAAAAGGGACCAUCAAAUUCAAAAAAAUCGAAGUUAACGAAAGAAAAAUACAUAACACAAGGACAUUUUUGCAGUUUUAUCAAUCAUAAAGAAUAAUGUAACGUCUAUUUUAUUUCAACUUGUCGAUUUUCCAUUUGUGUAGCCGCAUUAUAGCAUAUUAACUUUAUUUCAUUUUUUUAAUAUUAUAAAAUUUCUAGAAAUAUGUAAAUAAAGGGAGAUUAAGUCAAAUAAAUAUCAUUUUCACAUGUAAGUUCCAGCUAGUGGAAUAGAACCAUCCAUUAAUAUUCAUUUUAUUCCUAUUUAUAAUACAAAAAUAUAACUCAAAUAUACAAAUAACGAUUAUUGUUUUUCCAUUUACAUUUAUGGAAUAUAUCAAUUAACUAGAAAAAGUAAGUCUCAAAUAUAAAUUCUUUACUUCCAUUAUAAUUAAUCAAUUUCGUAACAUUAUUAUAGAUAUUAAAAACCUACCGAUUCUUAUAAGCUGCCAAGCUUAAUAUUUAAUUUAAAAUAAUUAUUAGCCAAGUAACGACAUACACGAUUCUCGUUUUCUAGAAGAGAAAAAGAAAAAAGUGAAAAAUUAGUACUCACACGCGUUGGAGCCAAGUAAAGCCAUCUCCAUAAAUACGCUCUGCUACCAAAGUCUCCAUCUCAUUCAUCGACUUGUUCACACAAAAACACCAAAAAGAUUACUGGAAUUCAGCGAAAUGGAACAACAGGGGGAAAUCGAAGGUUCUGGAUCCAGUCCUAGCUUCAGUUUUUACGCUGCUGAUACUUCAACAUCCAUGGCUAUCGCCAAAGUCAUCCAUGAAGAACAGGCCGGUCGGUUUCAUGAAUUUGGGGCUUCCAAUGAAGACGAUUUUAGAUUCUCGUUGGAUUUAAGUGAAGAAGAAGUUUCAGCAGAACAGAUCGAUUCGCGAGGGUGGACAGUUUUUCCACUUUUCAAUCGCGAUCUUCUAGUGAACAAUGAAGCUAAAUCAAAGGAUAAUGAAAUUCAUGCUUCUGAUUCUAUCACCAGUUCAUUACGGAAGCUGUUCAUUGAUGAACCAGAAGAAUCUUCAUCGUGUUCAUCAUCGGAAGCCGACGAAUUGGAAGCUCUACCUUCUGGAACUUACUGCGUGUGGAGACCUAAGACGGAUGGUGAAUCAUCAUCUGUUAUGACUAAAAUUAAGAAGAGUAGUUCUACGGGGUCUCUAUUGAAGAAGUGGAAGCUCCGGUAUAUGCUCCGGCGAAGCAGCAGUGAAGGGAAGG
This 3592-nucleotide long non-coding RNA is filed under the name Lactuca sativa (garden lettuce). RNAcentral describes it as "long non-coding RNA (LSAT_LNC010266)". Lineage: Eukaryota; Viridiplantae; Streptophyta; Magnoliopsida; Asterales; Asteraceae. The record is from RNAcentral.